Molecule: ribosomal RNA, 380 nt
Filed under: uncultured eukaryote
Lineage: Eukaryota
Description: partial 18S ribosomal RNA
Rfam family: Eukaryotic small subunit ribosomal RNA
Source: RNAcentral
CAAUAGCGUAUAUUAAAGUUGUUGCAGUUAAAAAGCUCGUAGUUGGAUUUGUGGCGUACGGUGGGUUCCGGGCACUUGUUGUCUGAGUAACUUGCUGUUGCCAUCCUUGGGUGGAACCUGUGUGGCAUUAGGUUGUCGUGCAGGGGAUGCCCAUCAUUUACUGUGAAAAAAUUAGAGUGUUCAAAGCAGGCUUAUGCCGUUGAAUAUAUUAGCAUGGAAUAAUGAGAUAGGACUUUUUUGCUAUUUUGUUGGUUUGCGCAAAGAGGUAAUGAUUAAUAGGGACAGUUGGGGGUAUUCGUAUUCCAUUGUCAGAGGUGAAAUUCUUGGAUUUUUGGAAGACGAACUACUGCGAAAGCACUUACCAAGGAUGUUUUCAUUAA